GAUAGUGGCGAACGGGUGAGUAACACGUGAGUAACCUGCCCUGGACUCUGGGAUAACUGCGGGAAACUGUAGCUAAUACCGGAUAUGACCUUGGAUCGCAUGAUUCUUGGUGGAAAGUUUUUCGGUCUGGGAUGGACUCGCGGCCUAUCAGCUUGUUGGUGAGGUAAUGGCUCACCAAGGCGUCGACGGGUAGCCGGCCUGAGAGGGUGACCGGCCACACUGGGACUGAGACACGGCCCAGACUCCUACGGGAGGCAGCAGUGGGGAAUAUUGCACAAUGGGCGCAAGCCUGAUGCAGCAACGCCGCGUGGGGGAUGACGGCCUUCGGGUUGUAAACCUCUUUUAGUAAGGAAGAAGCCUUCGGGUGACGGUACUUGCAGAAAAAGCACCGGCUAACUACGUGCCAGCAGCCGCGGUAAUACGUAGGGUGCAAGCGUUGUCCGGAAUUAUUGGGCGUAAAGAGCUCGUAGGCGGUUUGUCGCGUCUGCUGUGAAAUCCCGAGGCUCAACCUCGGGCGUGCAGUGGGUACGGGCAGACUGGAGUGCGGUAGGGGAGAAUGGAAUUCCUGGUGUAGCGGUGGAAUGCGCAGAUAUCAGGAGGAACACCGAUGGCGAAGGCAGUUCUCUGGGCCGUAACUGACGCUGAGGAGCGAAAGCG
RNAcentral lists this ribosomal RNA (657 nucleotides) under Agromyces sp. EECC-505. RNAcentral's name for it is "bacterial SSU rRNA". It matches the Rfam family "Bacterial small subunit ribosomal RNA", at positions 91 to 761 of the family's 1533-position model. Lineage: Bacteria; Bacillati; Actinomycetota; Actinomycetes; Micrococcales; Microbacteriaceae. The record is from RNAcentral.